UUUUUUUUUUUGCGUUAGAGGAUCGAUUCAUAUGCAUAUAUCACAGUUGAAACACAAAUUAGACACAUAAGUAAAUUCUUUAUUUCUUCACAUAUACAUUAUACAGUGUUGUUGCAUACAUCAAAUGCAUCUCAUACAUUAUUCGUCUAAAAUAGAAAUAGUGAAAAUUAAAUAAAAAUGUUGGUGUGAUCUGUGACCACACCUAAUUGCUUUAGGAGAUUUCAAAUAUAAGAUUUAGGCAAAAGAGAAAAUUUAGAGUUGCUUGAUGUCACAUAUUUUGCAACCAAACCAUUUUGGGGCACAAAAUUUGUAACAUUAGCCAUCUCUUAGUACUUUCCAAAACUAUUUAUUUCUUAGGUAAACUCUGAGUUUUUGGGCAAUUGAAAAUCAGUCCCUAAAUUCAAAGUAAUCUCCAUAUUUUUAAAGUCUAUGGUACUAUAAUGCAAAAGUUACAAAUAUCAUACUUUUCACUAGAUUUUUAUUUAAUUGCAAAUCUGUGAAAAAUUAUGCUGAGCCUCCACCGAAUAAACCAUGCUUAGGUGUCAAACAGGGAGACCACUAGUAAAACCUUAGUAGGUGAGUCACCUAGUAGUCAACCAUGUCCAUGUGACAAAAACCAUAUCAGUGUGAACCCCAUCCUGACCGAGCCUCGUUUUCCUCGUAGAGACCAAAACCAGUUAGCAAGAAGAACCACCAUAACCAGAGAGUGGAGAAGAAAAGAAAAAUACAAGAGGGCAAACUCACCCAACAUUAGGUGGAGCAGGGGCUCCAGCUCCAUUAGGAGCAGGUACCCCAGCUCAAGGAGGAGACGCUGAUUCAGUAGAAUCAACCAACCAAUAGAAGCUGCAGUAGAAAAAGAGGAGUUCAACCAUAUAUUUUCACAACCACUGAAUAAGCCACAAAGAGGUAAACUAGAUUAAGAGCAUCAUCCAUGGCAUAUAAUCAUGAUUAGAAGUCAGAUUAUUUUACAAAUCAAGAAUCUAGAGACCAUAUUAUUUGCAUUACAAGGUUACAGUGGCACACAUCUAACUAAUUUUUCUAUUGUGGGACAUUAUGAGAAAUAGAACAGAAAAAUAGAAGGGGGAAAAGGGAUAUGGAGUUACUGGUGAGGGUUGUGGCCGGCAGAGUUGCCAUUUGAGGCAUUGGCCGUCUCCACGGCGACCAUCACAGGAGUUGAGUACCAAUAGCCAUGGAGGACAACAAUGCUCAGAUUCCUUGAGAGAGGAGAGGUGGUAGUAGAGGAUGGAGGUAAAGCAGGAUAUGAGUUUGUGGGAACUAGGGGGAUCAAAUCACUGCAGGGGCAGCUGCUAGGGAGAUCGCCGGAGUGGGGCGUGGCAGCCGGCCUGAGGGAGAGCGUCGGUGUUGGCGGCGCUGUUUGGGGAUGGCGGCACAGGAGAGAAGGCGUGAAGGAGAGAAGGAGAUAGCGAGAGAAGAAGAUGAGAAGAAAGAAAGUGGGCUGGUUGGGCUUUGGUUUUGUGGGCUAGACUAAAUUAAUUAUAUAUAGUCUCUAGGAAAUUAGUUUUAGAUUUAGAAUAGAAUGUGAGCAAGUUUAUAUAGCAUACAAAUUGAUGAUUCUAAAUUUUUGACAUUAGUGCUAAAAUAAAAUCUGAGCAGAGCAAAAUAAAUUUAUAUAACAGUACCUGAUCAUUAUAUUUGCCAUUCAUAAUACAUCAUUCAUAUGCAUUGCAUGCGGUAAAUUUAUGCGUUCGGAAUAUGUCCUUAUUCGGACUUCCGUAUUUUUUUCAGAAGUUCGAGUUCCCGAGGAAUCAUUCAUUUCGACUGAAUCUGAGGGUAUUUGUGGUGUUUUCUAUCCAGGCAAGUCCAUCUCUUGAUCAUAUUGCUUAGUUAUUUCAAAUAUUUGCAACCUAUAUAACUCUCACCAUUGCAUAGAAAACCAGAAAUUUAUUUCUGAAUGUUAAUAUUGUACAUGUGGAUCUGUGGAUCAGUUCUUUGGUGAUCUUAAUAAUUGGCAGUCUGAACUUGGUUGUUGUGUAGUUCAGCUGUAUAUGCUUAACAUCAUAAGGUUAAUUAACAACUGCUGUAGGUAUGCAAGCGCCGUAGCGAUCGUGUCGACCAUAUGACCUGGAAUGGGAUAGGCUGGCUUAGUAGUUCUUUCUUAAUGGCUUUAUCCUGCGGGCUUAAGGACUUCCGCGAAUCCCGUGAGCGUGGGCUAGCGAUGAGGGUUGCCGUUGUUGCGGAAUCCGAUUAGAUGAUGUGGAUCGCCAUUUUUGCGGGAUCCGAUGAUUCGCCGUUGUUGCGGGAAUCACCCGCAGAGAUAAUUGACAGAUGGGAUUGAUGAAAAGCUUGUGACCUUAGCCUUGCUGGCAUACACCAUGAAGUGUGCUUUAAGCGCCGACGGGCAUGGGCGUUAAAAGGUUUAAGGCGUCUAUGGGUAUAGCGACACACCUCUGCAGAGUGUAUGAAUUGUGAUAUGUCACUCCCUGUUUCGGGUAGAAACUGCGAACGCGGUAGGAAAGGGAUCUAUCGGAGAUUCUACCCUGUGGUACUUUAUAUGCAGUAGUGUUUUAUAAUUAAAAUUUGAAUUUUUGCAACAAAUAUUUGUCAAAAACAUUAUGAAUUCUUUGAAGAAUCUUGAAUUCUAGAGAUAGUUGCAUUCACACAUUUUCUUGCUAUUGAUGGGCUUGUUGAGUACCAUUUGUACUCAUCCCCUAUGUUAAUUCCUUGUAUAUAGAUGUUGAAUCAUUAGAAUCUGUUGAACAAGAAUAUAUGGCUGGAAGUGAAGGAACUCACGUUAUGGAUGACAACCAGGAAGGACUCUACGAUGAUGCUGAGAUUGACUAUGAUAAUUAGUAUAUAAUAUGCAUGGUUCAUAUAGUUGCUGUAGUGGUGAUGGUAGUAGCUGUGGCAGCGGUAGUAUUUGUAGUAGUAGCAGUAACAUUAAUAUGAGUAGUAGUAAUAUCUGUAGCAGCACUUGUGAAUUUUCUUGUGUGCUAUAUAUGUGCUGAGUUUUUGGGGUUUGUAUAUUAUUUUGCUGUUAUCGCUCGAGGCUUGUCUUGAGCUGUAUCUAUGGUACUGUAAUAACCGGAACCAAUGCGAUGUUUCUGCUAUGCUACUCUGAUGUGCAUAUCUCUGAGUAAACGGUGUUUAUGAAGAUAUAUGCUAUAGACUUAUAUUCUACUCUUGUUGUGGAAUAUGUGGGUCGUUUCACUUAUCUUGGAACAUUUCCAUUAUGUGGGUGAUGAAGAAAAAGUUACACAGGGAAUGCUAAAUGGUCUAAUUGCAGUGGGCUGCAACUACUUGAUCCUGAUCAUGUGUGCUGCUAUAAUCACAACAACAUUUCAUCUUGCUAUGAUUACAACUCAAGGCAACAACGUAUAUGGGACAAAUCAAUUGCAUGAGAAGCUCAUUGCCAGAUUGAUUCCUUUGACCACGAGAGGAUUGCCCCUGCCAAUUCAUGGUAAUGGCUCAAAUGUCAGAAACUAUUUGUAUUGUGAUGAUGUUGCUGAAGCUUUUGAGGUGGUUCUUCACAAGGGUCAGGUCAGCCAUGUGUAUCAUAUCGGUACUGCGAAGGAAAGAAGGGUGAUUGAUGAGGCUAAGGACAUAUCGGUAUGAGAUUCUAUCCUUUGGCCAAAACUGAAGCAUGUUGAUGUACAGGAGGAUGGAAACAACAGGUGGACUAGAGAUUUUUCAAGUAGAAGCAUUGUAUUGAAAGGGCGAAAAGAUUGUGGACUUUGUUGGUGUGCACUGGAUGUUAUCAGGGACGUGAAAGUUGAUCGGGUCCUGCAACUUUUGAAGCAAUAUGGUUCAGCAAAAUUGGUGAUCAUUAAUUCCUUGAGUAUACCAUGGGAUCCAGGCGGCUCUCGUGUGACAUUGGCUGGGCGUUCUUCUUGUCACAUUGGCUACAUUACAAGAGAAGUAUUAACAGAGGAAAUCAAGUAUAAAUCAUUGCAUCAAACAUAUCCGUUGGUGAAGUUUCCACAAUUAAGGUCAUCGGCUUGGGGACAAGCCGAAUUUUAAGAAAUGGGGAUUGUUAGGAACUCUUGUGGGCUGCAAUGUGGGUCAGUUCAGUGGCCUUCUAAGCCUAGCCCAACCAAGACAAGGAGGAGAACUACAAAACAGCAAAGCUACACUUUCAGGGGCUAUCGCAAGAUCAAUUGGCGAACGGCGACGGCGGCGGCGACCUGGUGGCCAGUUGGCACCUUGUCGAUUUCCUUCCAACCUACCUUCCUUCUCCCUCUAUCUUCUCCAUCUUCCACCACUUGUAUCCCUUAGUUCAUCCUCCUUCCACCUCUAUUUACUGGAGUAUGGUUGCUAUUGUAUUGGAUGCUUGCAUAUUUGAGUGGAAUUGAGAUCAGAGGUUGGAGUUCCUAACACACCGCCAAUGUUCGGCCCUGCGACAUGAAAGGUAGGUUUCCUCCAAGACCAGCAGCAACGGUGUAUAGGCUACACAGGUGAUGUCACAACCAUGCCACUUGCCUGCUGCUGGUGCCUCCAUCUCCCUAACUCACGGAGCAUUUCUUCAGAUCUACAGCCAUGCCAUGCUGAGUCAGGUCCGAUCUACAGCCAUGCCAUGCGGAAUCAGGUCUGAUCCAAUUCCCUACUUGCUCCUCUCCUUUUAUCCUGGUUUACUCUUUCGCUCUCCGAUAUUUGAUUUAUGGCUUGUUCGUGAUUCGUUUGGUUAAUCACGCAUUAGUUUGUUGUUUGCACAUUUAAUCCUCUAAGCAUUAUAAUUGGUUUAUUUCAAAUUUUGUAAUAUAGAAAGAUUCUGCUGACUUGAAAAAAAAAGAUCUGUAAUAAGAUGGCUGAAGUCUUCAUUUCUGUCAGCAACGCGUAACUAGGCUGCACAUGCUCCUUUUUCUUCCAAUUCUAAAUGUGAAGUUAAGAUAUGUGAUUCACUUCCAUCUUAGUUUUGAGAUGCAGCGGUUCGUAGCUUCCCUUGAAAAUCUCAUUUGUUUUUUAAUCCAAUUGCAGGGUGCCGUUGCUCUCCUGGUUUGGAGGUUGGACCAUUUUCUAAGUCAUCUUUAGAUUUCAUAAAAAUAAUAUUAAAGUGAUUAGAAGAAAUUAAGUUAUCCUAAUUCGUGUCUCAAAGUUGGUAAUCGACAACACACUUCGUUAGAACAUAAUAUGUUUUUUUUCAUCAAAAUCAACAGCUCUCGAGUCCAAACAUCAUUGGAAGCUUUUUGGCUCCAUGGCAGAUUAUUUUUUCUUUUAUCCCAUAGUUAUUUUUCUGUGUCGCACUGCUCUACCUCUGGAAUUUUCAUAAUUCCAUAAUUCAAGCAAAAGUGUUUCAAUAUUUUUUUAUACUAUUUUUGGUAAUAGCAUCGAUUUCAUGCCAGUGGCAAGCCUAUCAAGUAUUUUAAUCAAAGAAUGGAACGCUUUUUGUAGAUGUACAGGGAAAAUGGAAAUGGUACAGGUAUUUCAUAUUGUCCUACGAGGUAAUAUUUCUUCACUCGGUAAUCUGUUCAGUCAAUGAAAAGUUGUGCAAUCUCCUGACUCUUUCAGGACAUCGACAUAACUACUACAUGGACAGGGAAGAGUUAUGAGGUAUUAAAGGCCUGAGAUUCAUGGAAAAACAUAUCCUCGGGCAACAUGUUCAUUAAUGUACCAAUGUGCUUGAUAGAAUCCCACUGCAAGGAAAUUUGUAUUGUUCUGAUCAAGGCACAAGUACAGGAGAAAAUUGACGUAUUUUUGGAUAUGCAAGCACUGGGCAUUCAAAUAAGAUCUUUUUGUCAUGCUUUCUAUUUUCUAUUUAACUACUGGAGUAUAACGUCUAUUUUCCCCUGAGCCAAAAUACAGAUGAAUUGUUCUGCAGAGUGUAAAAUUGGGCACAAAAAUGCUGAGUAAUUGCACCAUAAAUCAAUAAAUCACUACGUACUUAUACAGAUUGGAGCUGUUUAUUUUCCUUCCACUCAGGCUUCUUGCUGUUGGUGCAAAUGGACUUGCAAUCAAAUCAAAUGCCCUGUCAUGAGAAGGAAGAGGUGGCCUGGCCAGCCGAGGUCGCGACCGAUGUGCUUGCAAUCAGCGGCAAAGUGGAAGCUAGAGCAGCCGGAUGUCAGCGAGAGCAUGCACUGCCUCAAUCAUGAGCUUGCAUCGCCGAGCUUAAUUCGGAGUCUGCCAUCAACAUAGGUCAUCUUUCCUAACCAACCUCAAUUUGUUUACUUGGUCCACAUCUUUGGCUUCGUACCUCAAGUUUGAUGUAAUUCCUUCAUUUAUGCGCCGGUUAAGUUAUUGCUUGGUUUGCUCUUGUUAUUAAUGAAUUCUUACUAUUUAUAUGAGCAUCUUACAUGACAAAUGCAGAUUGCUACUUACUUUGUCUAGGUAUAUUCACAAGGUCAUUUUUCUUAAAAGUUGAAUUGUUCCCUCUAAAUGAAGGCUUAUUCAACCUAUAGGAAUAAGUUUUUAAAAGUUGAAUUGUUCCCUAGCCUGAAGCAAAUCUCUUUCCUGUUUGAACUCUACAGGAAUGAGCAGUAAUGAGGCUUGAAGGUGAUACAGUUAUCGACUUGAAAUUGUAGUCGGAUAAAGUAUUUGAUUAUUUGCCUCCACAUUUGAUUCGUAUAUAUUAGUUUAACAAAUACAUAAUUGAAAGUGAAGGAUCUGACCUAUAACUGACGCCUAAUGGUAGGCAUUUAAAGGAAUCUGAAAUUGUAACUAACUUUCUUUUGUACGAAAGAAUUCAAAUACAUAAAUGUGCAGAUGCAGCGAGGCUUUUUCAGAAACAAAUAUGAUUCUUACUGUUAAAAUAUCCUCUACCUGGCAGACAUCUAAGGAAGUGUACUCAUUUGAAUUCUGAUUUUGCUUUUUCUCAGGGUUGUUUCAUGUUCUAAAGAGUGUCAUCUGCAAUGCGAUAGCUUUAGAGAGAUGAAAGUCCAAUUAUGCUAGAUUAUCAGUUUUUUUGCAAGGAUGCUAGAAUAUCACUUUGACUUGUUUGGUACUGUCCAAUGCCAAUAGUGGCAAUGAAGACAACUCUUUAUACAUCAUCAGAGGAAAUGCUGACUCCAUUAUUUGUGAUAGAAAAUGUUAAACAUGGUGGAAGCAGGGGAGUAGAAUGUGGAGCAAAUAUAAAUAUAUUUUGAAGCUAGGCAGGACAUGAGGGUGCUCAUACAAAGUGAUUUCUGAGAGCUCAGAUUAAUUUUCUAUCUAUAAAUAACCAUCUCCAUAAAUGGGGUAUAUAUAUGUUUUUUUAAUAGAAGUUUUGCAUACAUUUUUUUGUGCAGUUUCUAUACUCUAGCUAGCGCUGGAAUGGUCCUACUUCUUUCAUUUACAACAUAUCAGCUUGGUUUCCCAUUUGGACUUAAAACUGUAAAUAUGGCAAGCAUGUAGAUAAAGUUGAUCCUACAUGCAUGCCACAACUUAUCAGACAUACCGUCUGCAUACUCUGAUUGUACAUUCAUGUCCAUACAGGGGAGUAAGUUCGGUAAAUUCAUCUUAGUGAACAGAACAUUUGUGCAUUUCAUUCAAUUUUUUGUUUUGUGGUGAUGAGAAGACUAUGUCAUUUGUUAUUCUUCUAUAAGAAAAUAAUUUGUUAUUCUUGUGUAAGAAAAUUGUUUGUUAUUCUUCUAUCUAUACUAAUAUAAAAAGCAUGAGUUUACCCUGCAAUCCAACUGGUGAAAUCACCUAUACCGUGUCUAAUCCAUCACCCACGCAAUCCUUGCCGCUCCAUCCUCCUGGCGCAAACAAUGCCACCAGCCACCACGCCCUCCUCCCUGAAUGAGCCUCAUUACUCCAGUAUAUGCUCCUCCCUAUUAGCGCCACUCCAUCGCUAUUCGUUGCGUUGGUCGAUCAUCGUUGCCACUCGCUAAGCGUCUCGACCGCUGGUUAUUGUUGUGGCGCACCGACAGCUUUCACCAUGACCCCCGGCCACUGGUCCUCGCUGCACGCUGCUGCAUGAUGGCCAUGGUGGCUCUCGAGUGUGGAGACGACAGGGCGAAGGGUGGAGUGAUGUCGAGGCUAGCGGAAUCAAGCAGAUCUAGAGGCCACGUCGCCGGCCGGCCUGUCCGUCGCCACCUAGGCGCUCGCCUCUCAGCCCUCCCGCCUUUAGCUGCUGCCGCGUCGACUGCCACCUUAGGAUUUGAAGGUGGUGCUCUACAACAGGGACGGCGCCACUGUGCCACCAUGGUCAUGAUGGCCCUGGUCCCUGGAGGUCAGGAGGGCAGGGAGGAGACCUCGCUCCGUGACCCCGACGCCGCCGCCGCCGCCGCCGGUUCCUGCACCAUCGUGGGCUCGCGGCAAUGUCGCCCCCUUACAUCUUCUGUGCCGCGCCAUCCAUCACCAUUCACCACGGUCACUCUGUUUCCAUAUCUAUGUCCACGGUUCAUUUGGGUUCUGGUAAGGGAGUUCCUACUCAUCCGAGUCCACAUUUCGGUUCUUCAGUUUUGUUCCGGUAAGGCAAUUUCUAAUUUUCGUUGACUGCCCCGCUUGCUGAUUUCCCUUCCUACUUUUCGUGGACAUCAGGAAGAGGAGGUCCACUGCCAUGUGUGUGAGAGCGACUUGAUCUAAUUUUUCAUGCUUGUGGUGUACAUUGAAAUUUUCUUCACGAUUAUCGUCCUUGCUAUGAAAUGCUUAUGCUAAUGAUUUGAUUGGUAAUCUUUCGAUAUGGAUUGAUCACUGAAUACUGAUGCAUUGGAUCCUUGGAGUGACCGUACAAUGCUUUGCAUUUCUAAUCGUUGUCCCCUACUUUAUACUUCAUUCAGUUCAUGGUAUAUCUCAUUAAUCGAGAAGAAAUUGAUAUGGUACCAAACGAGAUAAGACAAACAAGUUCUUGGACUGUAUGUGGUUACUUUUAAAAGUUAGCAUUCUAACAAGUAUGUUUGUAUAACUUUUUUUCGGUUAUAAUUUCCUUUUUUAUUUGAGUGAAUGCUCAGGUUAUAAUUUUAAUAGUAUAUUGUUAUCUAAAUAAAUGCGGCGCGAAGGUCAUGAGGUAGUUCUGAAAUUUCAGAGAAAUCUUCGAAGAUUUAUAUUUGGAAAAUUCAUAAACAGAGAUAAUGGCAAAUCCCUGGUUUUUGACCAUGGAACUGGAGAGUACAUUUAUCACCAAUGUUGCAUUAGAGUUUGUUUUCAAUAUCUGGAAAUUUUCUUAUUAAUUAUUGGCACCGUGUACAUGAAGCUUUUAUUGUUGAAGUCUCAAUUAACUUCUUACUCCAUUUUGUGUUCCAUGGAAUAUUCUUCUCCUUUUCAUCCCUGAAGCUAAUUUUUGUGUCUUCUUUUUAUCAGGCGAGUGAAUGAAUUUUCUUUUAAUUAGAAAGGUUACCCCCUCCCAUUUCUACUAAAUUAAACUGAUAUGUUUACAGCACAAGAGUCAUCCAGGCUAACAACAAGAAAACGAAGAACUGAUUUUACUUCUUCAUAAACAGGUGCAGAAAUUAGAUAGAAAGAUAACACAAUAUUAAGAUUGCUAGAAAAGAGUUCUAGUUUGCAUGGAGCAAUAACCCUUCCAGUCCGUCAGUUCCAUAUUACUGAAUGUAAAUUAUCGGUAAUAAGAAAUAUCUCAUAGUUUCUUAUUACCGAAUGCUAAUCCAUUGAUUUAAUUUCAGUUCUGGGCUUUUGUCAUCAUGUAUAAACAAAUAAUACCUUCGAGGAUUUUAUUGCCUUCUUAGUUCAAUUUUGGUAAUAUAUUUCUCCCAUGAUGGGAAUCAUGUCCCUUUUUACAGCUUACAUCAAGAUUCUUAAACUAGACUGUUCAUUUUACUUCUGCAGAUUAUUUCACUACUUUCUUGGUUUUAUUUCCUGUCAUCAGAUUUUACAUUCACAUGUACAAAUGAAGUAAUGGUUACCAUUAUUUUUGCUUGCUCUAUAUGUAUGCACCCAUAUGGCUUUUUACUAACCAAGCCGUAGUAUACUGGUAUCUGAUCCGGCUAGCUUGAUCCUCAUAUCCUUCCAUACAUUAUGGCAUUUCCGUUUGCCAGCCAAUGGAGUGCGCUCCUUUUUGCUCUAUCCUUUUUUUAUAUAAAGUUUUAUUGUGCUCCCCUGUAUUUUCCAAUAUUGUGAUUCCUUCAACAGAUCCACACAUUGCUUACGAUACAUGACUUUAGUUUUUUUGUCUAAAACUUGAUGUGCGCUUUUCUUUUGCAGUAUUUUUGUUGAAGUCAAAUUUCAAUGGCAAAUCAAUUUAAACCAUCUUAUACUUAAAUGGCUGGGAAGUUAGCUAUAAGCAGGUGAUGGAGAUAAUUUUGUUGUAGACAUAGGAUUGAGCUCACUUCUGUUGACAUCAAUAUAAGCACACAAGGUUCAAGAAAGUUUCAGUAAGAAAAUUGUUUUUUAGUUCACAAUAACGAUGUGUUGAUCUCUUUUGAGAUUGUUGUUGCAACUCCAGUCCCGUACAUCACACGUAGUUAAUAGCUCAGUUAUUUCUGAAUUUUGAUACUACUUUUAGAGCUACUGACCUAAAAAUUCCUAAAUUUAUAAUAUGAUUAUGAAUUUCCCAUGAUAUAUUUUAUGGAAAAUGUGCAUUGCAUGUGCACGCUUACUAGUAUUGAACAAAAUUAUUUUGUGGUUUACUUAGUAACCAUGAUUCAUUGAUUCCAUCCAAGUUCCCGUUAAAAUUUUCUCCUUUGUGCGCUUACAUAGAAAUUGUGUUGAGAAAUAUAAAAAAAUGUAUGCCCUUUAUUAUCAUUUGUACUCCAGGUUAAUGGUGUAGAUCCUCUGGUCAACCAUUUCCACCAUCACCCUCUGGAUCAAGCAGUUGUCAUCCUCAAGAUUGCCCCACAACUAUUGAGGUUGAGUUCGCAUGUCGCCACUACCCUCGAGUUCCCCCGCUAGCUACUAUUUCUAAACGGGUGAGAAUCCUAUAUCAUAAUGUCGCUACCAUUACAGUCAUUGGUACACGGGUCUCAACUUAUUAUUGCCCCACACGUCAGUUUCUAUAAUGAUAGUGUUAUUAUAGUAGAGGAUGUGAACCCAUCCUAAAUAGUGACAUUGAUACAUCUUCAUCGCUGUCACUGUCUCCAAAUCCGACAAAUGAUAUACUAGCAGCAGCGUAAUGGAACUAGAGAUGGCAAUGGUUCCCUAGUCCUUGGAUUCCCCGCGGUGAAUCCUCCCAUUAGGAGGAGGGGGUGGUAUAAAAUAUGUCUCCACGGAACAUUAAAUGGAGUAAAAACACUCUCCAUCGGGUCUGGCGGGGGCGGGUUUGGUUCACCAUCCCUCGUCCCCGCUCUCCGUGGAGGUCCGACGUAACAAUGUAUGUGUAAUAUUAUCAUGUAUAUUUGGCCCAUCUAGCCCAUAGAAACUAGGCCCAAAACGUAGAGUAUAUAAAGUAUCUACAAAACCCUAGCCAUUCCAAUCCCUUCUCCCUUUCGUCCCCAUUCCCCACGCCGUCGCAGGCUCGUAGCCUAGCUAGCGGCGUGCCGGUGCCGACUCCCGAUCUCAAUCUCGUAGGGCCGCCGCGCGCCUGCCGCGUCAGCACCCUCGCAGGGUCGCCGGCUUGUCGUGCUCGCGUCCGCGCAGGGCCGCUGCGCCUCCAGGUCUCGGCACUGCCGCACCAGGUCCCAGCGCCACAGUCGUCUCGGUCUCUCGGCAGCACUGAGGACGCCAAGGACUUGGCACCGGCCACCAGACGUUGGGCUCAUCCUCCACUGUCCAUCCAUCCAUUCUGAAUUUCUGAUCCGUCAUCUGGGCUUAUUUGUUUUACUGAUGGUGGAUGCAGGUGAAGGCUACGGUGGCAAGAAAGACCUACUCCGAACUAUGUUUUUGUGUAUGCCUGGACAACAUGUGUAGCGGUGAUAACUAAUGAGUGAUCGACUGGUGAUUGAUUAAUGAUCAUGUGUUAUUGUGUUGUUGCUUAAUAUGAGAAUUUGAUGGAUAGUGUUGCUGAGGGGAAAUUCUUGGGUACAAAUUUGUUGUACUGCUUGUUGCUGCAAUGCUGUUGCAACUGAAUAAGUAAUAAACUGAUGAUGUGCAUUUGUGAAUUUGUGAACUUGUGAUAUGAAUUUGUGAACUUGUUUUCUUGUAUAAUUAUGUUGUUGUCAUGUGCUGAAAUUGCAUGGCCAGAAUUGCUAUUUUGAGUGAUAAUCUUUUUAUCAAAAUUAUUGUUUGAUAUGUGAAAUAUAUACAUGAGACUCGCGGGGAUGGAGGCUCCACGGAGGCGAUGAUGGUGAAAGAUGUUACCCCGUUGCAUUUCACGGUGAUGGUGAUAGGGGAAAUUCUCCUCCACCGAGGCGGGUCUGGUGGUGUAACCUCCGACGGAGAAUUCCCCGUUGCCAUCUCUAAAUGGAACAAGCAUGCUCGGCCCGAUGGAUCUGUACGUGCUCAACGCCAAGCGCACCAAAGGUCUUAGGCUCGAUUGAUAUUGAUCACUUACCCAAUUAAAUAUUAAAUCACUUAUUCCUUUUAUGUAUGUAAGCAAGCAUCAGAUAGAGCCCUGGUACACGUGAAAACGCAUGCAGUGGCAGAGGAUUCAGGGGGAUGACGAAGAAAGUGGAUGGGGAGUUGCGAUUGCCAAGAUCAUUGAUGCCGUUCUCAAUGUGGGAAAACACAUAAUAGAUAUAGGGUGUGUUUAGUUCACGUUAAAAUUGAAAGUUUGAUUGAAAUUGGAAUGAUGUGAUGGAAAAAUUGAAAGUUUGUGUGUGUAGGAAAGUUUUGAUGUGAUGUAAAAGUUGAAGGUUUGAAGAAAAAGUUAGGAACUAAACUAGGCCAUAUAUGUAGGUGUUGAUGAACUUGACUGCAUGUAUUGGCCUGUUCAAGUUCACUGUCAUUGGUGCAUGGAGCAUAUAAAUACACGCGAAAACUUUUCAUUAUAUCAGAUCGUGAAUAUUUGGACACAUGUAUGGAGUAUUAAAUAUAGAUAAAAAAAACUAAUUACACAGAUUACGUGUAAAUUGCGAGACGAAUCUUUUAAGCCUAAUUGCUACAUAAUUUGAUAAAGUAGUGCUAAAGUAAACAUUUACUAAUGACGGAUUAAUUAUGUUUAAUAAAUUCGUCUCGCAGUUUACAGGCGAAAUUUAUAAUUUAUUUUGAGUAUACGUUUAAUACUUCUAAUGUGUUCCCGUAUAUCCAAUAUGGCACGCUAAAACUUUUCACCCGUGAAUCUCCUAGCCUAACUUAAACACUCUCAAACAGACAUGUAAUUACAGAUGCACACAUGCUGUCACACAUGCAAGAUUAGAUCGAUAUAAUCAACUUUAUCCAAUUUUAAUUGCUCCAUCACUAGCUAGCCAUUGUUUACACGUUCCCUCCAAUAAAUCGCCAUCGACUUCACUGCUGCCACUUCCGUCGCCACCGACUCAGCUGCCGUUGCCACCGCCGUCGUCGCCACAACUGUCAUCUUUGGUGCCGCCACUAUACGAUGUCCCAGACAAGACAGUGAGUUUAAGUUCAACUAGCAAUAAUCACGCGCUACGCUGCGUGUGGAUUUGAAGGUAACAUCAUACUCAAAGCAGCCCAAAAUGGUUACAGUUGUCAAGUUUGCGCCAAGAGCAUACUUGCAUUUACACUUUAUUAAUAUUUUCAAGAUCAAAUGUGAAUUGUUCUGAUCGGUUCGUUCAGAGAACAAUUUGUACAACCAAUGCACAGUAGUGUAAAAGCCUUUCCAGUGUGAUGUAGAUUACAGAAAAAGAUCAAUGUUGAGUCGGUAAUCAUUAGAAGGCAAGGCGCAUACCUGAAAAUUUUUCAUAUAGAAAUCUUCAUCACGAAACAAUGAGAUCUUUUCACAUAGCACCUGCAUUGUGAAGGAUAUUUUAGUGUUUCGGCGCAAUAAAAACAACAGUAUAUAACCAAAUGUAUGUGCAGCAAUUUAGAUGACUGCUGCUUACUUGGAAAGUGCCAGUGACUACUGAGCUAUGUCCAAUAGGCCAACAUUAUGUCCAAGAGUUCGGUUUUACAUGCAUGAAGUGGAAACAAAAUGUUGCAAUUUCGAUUGAUUAAGCGCAAAAAUAACUAAUGAAAUCAUAAUGUCAAGUCAACCUAUGAUGCAAACUUCAUAGAAGUAUAUGUAAAAACAGAGAUUCAAUUUGAAAGAUGAUGGGUCAGUAGCAAAUUCCAGAAAUAUCGCUGUAAGGAAAAAAAAGAAAGAAAGACCCCAUGUGCACCUAUUGAAGCAUAUUUUUUUUAUAUCCAUCAUUUAGAGACUUAUUUAGUAUAUCUGACAAUUGUAGUUGCUAUGAUUAAUCGAAUUUACGGAGACUACCUAGAUGAGAUGGCCAAGAGACUUUUAGCAUGAUAUGAUAUACUUACCUUAAUCGUGGCCAAAAGACUUGAAACAUGAUAUGAUAUAGUUGCUCUGAGGUAUGGAGGUAUGGCUAUUUAAAGUUAUUUGCAUGAUCCAAAUAUAGGGGUAAAAGGUGGGGGGGGGGGGGGGGGCAGCAAAUCAGCAGAAAAAUUAUCAUAGAUGGGAAACAUACCAGAUGGAGCAUGUGGUUGCUGAUUUACAUUCCAUGCCAAGGAAUAAAAGGGAACAUAUAAUUUAUAAGUUUGUAUUGUCCACUUGCUAUUUAAAUUCAGAAUAUGUAGAUUAUUUUAAAGUAAUGAUAUUAUCUGAAUAUCCUUUUUCCAGAAUAUGCAGACACAUUUCAGGUUUAUAAGCUUGAAAAAAAAGGCACUAACGAACAUUCCAUCGUUGGUCAAAGAAUCCCAUCAUAGAUCAACUGGCCUAAAAAAGAAGAAAAAUAAGUGUUUCAUGCAUAGAAAGUGGUUUCAAUUUUAUAUCCAUCUGUUGGAUAUUAAGACAAAACUUGAAGGAGAAUAACUAUUCCACAUUGGUUCCAGAUAAUUAAUUACAUCCUUUUCAUGAGAAAGCAACAAUUAACAAUUACUUUUGUUCCCCAUAACACAUUGGGCCAGCUGUACUUCCCAACUAUCAUGAACAAUUUGUUUAAACAAAAAUUAGCAAUAAAGCACAUGGGACAUUAUUCAAAUACCAGUAUGUCCACUAUCAUUGUCAGUAAGUUCCAAACACUGUCAAUGGAUUGUAGUUCCUACACUAUAAGAACUACCUCAUCCAAUAUCCUACUAUCCCCAACUGGUUGUCAAUAACUGUAAGCCUACCUGACCAUUUGAAAUAAAAUAUUUGAUAGUUUUGGAACACAGGUAGCUGCUUAAAUAGUAUAUAGUCUUCAAUAUGAAAUGUCACAUUUUAGCAAUAUGACUAUGCAUGUAGCAUGUUAAGCAUAUUUCUCUUAUCAAUAACUAUUUCAAUUCUAAACAAAAACUACAACAUGAGUAUAUGUUUUUCUUUAUUGCCUAAAUUCACACACCUCAGAUGAGAUACCAUACUUCCCAAAAAUGCAUUAGUGCUCGUACAGAGAGAACCUAGCUAGUAUUUCUUAGUAUACCUCUAGCUAAGAAGAGGAACCAAAUUAGGCGACAAAGACUAAUGCACCUCGUGCAAGCUGGUGUAUAAUAAAAAAAAGUCCCAUGGCUACAGCAUAGGACAAUCUUUGUUAAAAUUCCAGUUCUAAAUAGGUUACAAUGACUUCGUAUGAUGUUCAAAAAAAGUAAUUGAUUCGUAUUGAGGCAAAACAAAACUUACAUAGAUAUGUUCCACUUCAUAUGCACUGGGAGGGAUACCUGCAUCUAGAGAAGCUUAUAAGCACUGAUAAAUAAAGAACAGUAGGGCAUUUAGGGCAUUUAUAGUAUGGUCUGAAAGGCUUUGAGUUGGAUCUGCACUAUUAUGUUUCUUGUGUACAUAAUAUGAACUGAAUCAGCCCAAGAAGAACUUUACCUUGGCAACCAAAGAGAAUCAUUACAUACAUGUCAAAGGUAUCCUAAGCUUGAUAUAAUGAACGAAAGCCCCAAAUCGCAUAAAUAUGCCCUGCAUCACAAAUGGGAACAAAUAAACCUAUCAACAAUAUCGUUUUGCCCUCCAAAGUUGUAUAUGCAAUUCCUAACUGAAACAAUUAAUCACAGCAUAGAGAAUUUUGAGUAGCAGCGUGUGUUGUUUCAAGCUAAACAGUUUGAUCACACAUGACAGUGUUGAAGUACAUGCAGAGGGAAAUUUCUCCACACAACCUACACACUAUAACUGAAUAAUGCCAUACACAUUAAAAGCAAAUCAAGACUGGCACUGUAACUAAAUCAAGGCUUACACAUUAGAAGCAAAUCACGGUUGUAAUCAUCAACAACUAAGGUCCAACCACUUCCUUCUCAUGGCCCUAUGACACUGAGCUAGAACGAAAAGGAAAAAAGAGAACAGGAACGACCAGGCAGCUAUUGUCGCGGAGCCGCAGCUGUCUUCAUCGCGGUCCUGGUCAAGCCGACACUCUCCCUUCCCUUCUCAUGGCACUGAGCGAGGCUCUCAUGGAGAGGGAGAGGAGAAGAUGGCAGUGGCGGCGGCCGGAGAGGGACAGGAGAAGAGGGCAGCGGCGGCACCCUAUUGACUCCAUCCGGGCGACCGAUUCAACUGGAGGGGAGGCCAAGAUUGAUGAAUCAGACGGUCCCCGAGCCAUAUUUGACACCGCAGAGAGGGAGCGGCGGUGGCAGCACGGUAGAGGAGAAGGGAGCUGCGGCGGCGACGGCGCUUGCGAGCGGAGGAGGUGGGCGUCUGGGCGCCGGAUCCGCCGGCGAGGAGACCGGGGUCACCGGAUCCGGCGGUCCCGGCCUCCUCACUAGGAGAUCCGGCGGGUCAUUGGGAGGGAGCGGCGGCGGCAGCACAGUAGAGGAGAGGGAGCUGCGGCGACGACGGCGCACGCGAGCGCAAGAGGCGGGCGAGGUUGCGGUGCGAGCUGAGGAGGUGGGCGACGGCGCACGCGAGCGCAGGAGGCGGGCGAGGUUGCAGAGCGAGCGGAGGAGGUUGCGGCGCGCGUGUAGGGAGAGGAGAGGACGGGCGGCUAGGGUUUGUACCGGUUGGCGAAAUCCAGGCCGUCCGUCCAUAAUCCGACGAUCGCACGGGUAAGGAAGGGCCAGCACAGCGGGACACGUGGACGGCCAGAUUGACCCUACGGUGAGAUCGGACGGUGGAAAGAAGCGAGGACCGGCGCAUAAUUAUCCGAAAGUGCAGGGGUUUUUUCGCCAAAAUUGAUGAUGUGGCACUCUACUCUUCCCGCGUUCCCACGGCUUUUAAGUAAACCUAUAUAUUAACUAUUUAGUAUUCGGUUAACCUUAUCUUGAGAGGUAGCUACAAAAUUAUGGUGCAAUACAUCUGUUCAAUACUAAUUUAGUACUUCAUCCGUUUCACUUUAUAAAACAUCUAUUUCCUUGUCUAAAUGCAACAUCUAUAUGAAAUUAUGUGUCCAAAUUCAUAUCGAACCAUACAUGAAUCUUUUUAAAAUCCAAAAAUUCUUAUAAUAUAAAUAAUUAAUUAUCACACUCCGAUUAACGACAACUUGCUUUCAUUAGGCCCCCUCCAAUAUGAGCCAAUCAUGUAUUUUCACCACGCUUUAGGACUUUGGCAUAGCAUAUGUGCUGGCCACAUGGAAGUGAUGCAACAGUUAACAACGCUUUGCUAAGAUUAGAAUAAGGCAACAUUGAAGUGAUUAAUGGGGUUGUUCUCAGUACUAACUCUGUUUUCUUAGGUUUCGUUCAUGGACGGUAGAUAUGUUCAAAGUUCGUUUCUAAUUUUCUAUGUUGCUUAAUACUUGUUUCUAAAUCAGCUCCAAACUCUUAGUAUAUAGCAUAGAAUAAUGUGAAAUACCAUGAUGUAUACAAGUAAUUCAAGAAGCUAUUUCUGUGAUAUGAAUGCAGUCCGGCCAUCGAAAAAAGCAAGAAGUUCCAAAUGUAUGGAUAAUAUGCACACCUUUAUUGUAUUUCAAUCUAUUUAAAUAUGCCAACCACUUACACUUAAUUUAUUUGGAUAAUUAUUUUUUUCACAUGUAAAAUUAUGAAAAAAUUGAUGUGAGUUGGCAUGGAACUGAAUCUCAAUUUAAUUUAGACAUAUAUACAAAUUAGGCAAAUUUUGCUAUAGGACAUCACGACUUCGUGGUUUUAGCCGUAGGACACCGCACAAACUCACUUUUAGGGGAAAAAACACUCUUUAAACGUGCUUAUUUGCCACUGGACACCACGUCCAUUAAAAUAUUAAUUUUCGGUUGAAUAGAAGAGAUAAAUAGUAUGAAAGGUCAAAAAUACCCCUGACCCCACUUGUCAUAUUCUUCCUCUUCCUCCUGGUUGUGCAGCUUCUCCCCGGACUGUUGCCGGUCCAAGUGCGUCGGCUGGAACACGCUCAUGGAUUCCCUGCCUGCUAUGUCCUGCUCGUAGUAUAGGUCCUUGAUCCUCUCGGAGUAGGCGCCAUGUAGCGACACGACGAGCACCGGCUUGCGCCUCCCCGGCCGCGCCGCCCGGCUGCUCUCCGGCAGUGGUAAAGUUGAGCUCCUGCUGCACACGGGGCAGGAUGUUCUCUCCAUGCGCGCACAACAUGAUCUGGCCGUAGAGCUCGUCGGUGGAGAUGCGCGCCAAGUAGAAGGAGCACACCUGGAUGCCGACACGCUACUCAGUGUAGGCCAUGUACGAGGCAUGGUACCACGUUCCUCGGGUGGAGCAGGUAGCGGCCGAGGAGGUGGAACGCAGCAUCGUGGCACGGGAACAUCCGCGGCAGCACGCGCUCGAUGCGCGAGACCAGGAACAGUCCGAGCACGAAGUAGUUGUCGGAGAGGAGCACCAUCCAGUCGACGCGCCACAAUGCGUCCAGCCCGUCGUCGCAGAAGAAGCGCGGCUCAUUGCCGUUGCGGUUGAAGUACGUCGUGCUGCAGGUGCAUGUACAUCCAUGGCGGUAGUGGGUCUCGGGCAGCGCGUUGCCGCGCCGCAGCGCGUUGCCGAGGCUCUCGCGGGUGCACGCGUUGAAGCCCCGGAUGCCGGAAAACGGGAAGUCCCCCUCCGGUAGUGUCCACGUUGAGCCCGGGAAUUGCUCGCAGAUGAGAUAAGGAAGAAGAGAGGAUGGGGAAGAGAAAGGAGGGGUAAUUUGGUUACUCUGCAUAAAAAUAUGGGCCCGUGUCGCCUUGUCAGCACGAAUACGUUAUUUUAAUAGGGGCAGUAUCCGCUGGCAAAUAACCACAUUUAGAGAGUGUUUUCUCCUAAAAGUGAGUUCGUGCGGUGUCCUACAACUAAAAUCACGAAAUCGCGAUGUCCUGUAACAAAAUUUGCCUACAAAUUAACGCCGAUGGCACAACAGAAAAAAGUAAAUCACUAUUUUUAUUUUAUACUCCCCCGUCUAAAAAAACAGACCUAGAACUGUAUGUGAUACAUUCUAAUACAACAAAUCUGGAUAGAGUUAUGUCCCAGAUUUGUAAUAAUAGGAUGUGUCAUAUCCAGUGCUAGAUUGGAUUUUUAUGGAACGGAUGGAGUAACUAUGAUAUAUGUUUGUGCUCGUGAUUUUGCUUUUAUAAUUGUAGUCGAUCAUCUACGGAACUAUUUAUGUGUGUAUAUGUAGCCAUUCUAUAUCUAUAUAUUAGACACUACCACUCCCCUCUCUCUCUACGUUAUCUCUUUUCUCAGCCUUCCCGGCUUACCACCUUUUCCCCACCUUCUUCCCUGCUUCCCCUCCUCUCCACCGUCAACAGCGGGCGUCGGUGGCGGCCCCGUGGGUGCGCCUCCACGCCACCCGCAGCACCCAGGAUGAGGAGGUCAAGGUCGACGCCACCAUGUUCGACGGCGCCGCCGUCCCGCCCCCAGACGCGCCCCUCUUCCGCCGCGUCGAGUCGCUCGACCACGUCCCGCGCCUCCACCUCGGCCUCAUCAUCGAGGCCUCUACCGCGACAUGUUGCACCAGCACCAGAAAUCAUGUUGUACGGAAGCUUUUGUGAUUUUGCUCUCUGGUUUAUGUGGUUUGUGAAGUUCCACUUCUGUAAAUGAUUCGCAGCAAGCUGGAGGCUAGGGAGAGGGAGUACGUGAGGAAAUUCUUGCAGGAGAGGGCGGCGGCGGCAGCGGCGGCCGGGCGAGGCGGCGCUCCCACGGGAGAUUCACGACGAGAUCGGCCUAGAGUUCCUCGGCAACGUCACCGGCAAGCCAUACACGCUCCACGCCAACAUCUUCGCCAACGGCGUCGGCAGCCGCGAGCAGCAGUCGUCGCAUCUCCUCCUGGUCGUGGUCCUCAUCGUGCACAUCGUCGCUCGGCUCCCUUGACGACGAUGCCGUCGUUGCGUGCGUCGUCAAGGCGGCGGCGAGCGGGCGAGCGGGCGGCGGCCAUUUUCACUUUUUUUUUGUUUUUUUUCCGUGCGAGCGGUAUAAUAUGACCGCAUCGGGAUAAUCGAUUAUCCCGUGCGGUCCAUUAUCCCAUACGGUUGGGCCGUCCGUACGCGAAAAUAUUGAUUUUUUCAGACAUUUGGGUAUAGACGGGCAAAUCCUCCGCACAGAAAAAUCAUUUUGACCGCAAGGAAAAAUGGUUUUCGCAGUAACGAGAGACCGAAGAAGAUUGUACAAUUAUUAAUUGGGUAAUUUGUAACCAUGCCAUUAUAAUUUUUUAAAGUUUAAGAUAUGCCAUCGGUAUCUCAAUGACACGUAGGACCCACAUGAAUCAAUGACAUGUGGGUCAGGAUGGCAUAUCUCAAAUUUUACAAAAUUAUAAUGGCAUGGUUACAAUUUUCCCUUAUUAAUUUAUGUUCGCAUCGCGUGCGGUUUGAUAAGUGAUUUAACUAGGUUCCUUGUUUUGUCUAAAGCACCACCACCAGAAUCAUCAGUAUAUUUUACUGUGGAUUUUGGAGUACAAUUAAAAAUUCUAUUACACUGACUUAAAAUUUGAAUGACUUUUACCUUUUUAAACUCUAUGGAUGAACCCUAAAAAAAUAAUUGCCGAACAAAAUAUUAUUUCAAACUGGGAGAUGAUGUGGCAGUUUUUUUUAAUUUUAUACAGUGGAUUUUUGGAGUACAAUUAUUUUACCAUUGGCAAGAUGAGCAUAUAUUAUUUUUUUAAAACUUUAAUUUGUUGGAUGGAUAGUAUGAGUACAUUUUAUACAAUCUAUAUGUUCUUUUAUACAGGCUCUGUGUACAGCUCAGAUGAUGCACUUUUCCUGUGUGAAACUCUGAAGUAUGAUUCAUGUCAGGCACGUUUUUUUAGGAUAAUGUCACGUGCCUCUUUUAUUUUUUGCCACGUGUUUGAAAAUUAUUUUAUUUUAGGAUUUUUAUUCAUAUUAAAAUGGAUUGUCCAUUUUAUUUUUUUUAUAUGUAUGACUAUAGUGUACUUUGAGAUAUGUAUGAAUAUGUGUAGCCAUUCUAUGAAGCUUUUUAUUCGGUCAUUCUAUAUCUAUAUAAUGAUUAAUUUAUGAUGAUUAAUUUAUGUGUGCAUGCGUACAGUUUGAUAAGUGAUUUUGGUAUUCGGGCCUUGGCCGUAUUUAGUUCCUCCAAAAUUUUUUUGACACCACAGACACACAUUUAAAGUAUUAAACAUAGACUAAUAAAACAAAUUACAGAUUCCACCUAUAAACUGCGAGACGAAUUUAUUAAGCCUAAUUAAUCUAUCAUUAGCAAAUAUUUACUGUAGCACCACAUUGUCAAAUUAUAGCGUAAUUAGGCUCAAAAGAUUCGUCUCGCAAUUUACAUGCAAACAAUGCAAUUGAUUUUUUUUUCAUCCACAUUUAAUGCUUCAUGCAUGUGUCCAAACAUUUGAUGUGACGGAAUUUUUGGAAGUUUGAAGGGAACUAAACACAACCCUUAUUUAGAUCCCAAAAAAUUUUGGCCAAAAACGUCACAUCAAAUGUUUGGACAAAUGCAUGGGGCAUUAAAUGUGGAAAAAAAAUCAAUUGCAUAGUUUGCAUGUAAAUUGCGAGACGAAUCUUUUGAGCCUAAUUAUGCCAUGAUUUGACAAUGUGAUGCUACAGUAAAUAUUUGCUAAUGACGAAUUAAUUAGACUUAAUAAAUUCAUCUCGCAGUUAUAGGCGGAAUCUGUAAUUUGUUUUGUUAUUAGUCUACGUUUAAUAAUUUAAAUGUGUGUCCGUAUACUUCAAAAACUUUGCACCCAAACAACUAAACACACCCUCAGGCAAUAUAACUUGGUUCUUUUUUUCUCUAAUGCAGCACCACCAUAGUCAACUGUAGAGUUAUCCCUUGGUAUGUGAAGUGAUGAUCAGAGCCAAUGUACCUCUCAAACCGACUCACAAAUGGAUAUCAUCAUUGUUGAAAGAAGGGUUUCAUCGGGGUUUUAACCGAUGAGGUAUGUAGAUGUUGCAUCGGCUUACAAAGAUUGCAUAUAAGUUGGAUUUAGCCAUUCGCAACAAAGGUUUCACUGUUUAUCUAAUCUUGUGGAUUUUAUGACAUGGGACCUCCAGCCAAUAUAUGCUUUAACCAUCGGAAUAUUUAUUUUAUCAUAUCAUUGUUAGCCGAUUAGUUUCUACUGGAUUAUAUUAUUGUUAUUUAUCAUCAUCGGCUGAUGGCCUUUAUGUCAUUUAUUUACUCAAGUAUCAGACUUUGCAUUGGACAUAUAGCCGAUUGCUCAAAACCCUAUCAACAUCUGCUGGUAUCGGCAUCAGUUGGAAUUACUCCGUCUGCUUGUCAGCCAAUCGGCUCAUUGAUCUACUAUUUGCAUAUCUUAUCAGUUGCAGGAUCAAACUGACUGACACUUCUGCAUCUCAUCAACCUUUUGACCUGCACUGGAGCUAAGUAGAUCUCCCAUGCCGUUGGGUUUGUUGACUUAAUUUUGCGCCAACACAGUUCUGGCACCAUCGGCCGAGCGCGGUUUUUUCGUCAACAGGGGGUAAAAUGAAAAAAAAAGGAGAUGCUAAGGUGCCUAUUUUUUCCUCUCAGGGUGGGAUGAGGAUUUGUGGAAGGAUUCCUUAGAAAAGAAGUUUCUUGAAGGGUAUUGAAAAUAUUUCGCAAACUGAGGAAAUAACGGCUAGAAGCAUCGGAACGAAGAAUUGAACGGCUAAAGUUCCCUUAAUGACGUGGUGUUGUAUUUUGCAAGGAAAGGUUUCACUUUUCACUUAUUUAGAUAUAACACACAUGCAUGUAUUUUCGUGCAACUAGUGACUUGCAACACAUGAUCCCUGCUAGAUGCCUGUUGGCAGUCAUUAAACCCUAAAAUCACCACCAAUAUUAUAAUAAAAAUAUCACAUAAAGCAUGUUACCUAGGUCGAUUUUGCCUUAUUUCAAUGAGUUACACGAUUUCUGUUGGAUUUCACUACGCGUAUAAUAAUUCACGAUUUUGACCUAUUUUUUUUCCAAUGAAAAUCUGGCAUUUUAAGCCAAAGGGCUGACCAGCCGACCAACAUACCUCAUGGGUCAACCGGCCUAAAGACUUGGCCGACUAGCCAACUCAGGGCUCGGCCAGCUAUUUGGAAACGUGUCCUGAUUGGCCACCCUCCUCACUGAGCCGGCUGGCCUGCGCAGCACGAUGUGAGGCUAAUGAUUGAUUGGUGGACCCCAUUCUGGGAGUGAUGUCUUCUCGGAUGAGUAACAUGUAGACUUACUUUUCCCUCUUAAUAUUUUAUUCAUACAUUAUGCUUAUUGCCAUACUUUUUUUCCUAGUUCUCUUCUAAGUUUAUUUUUUAUGCUUGCUUGAGUGGAUGCCUCAUUUAUAAUUAAGCUGGGAACAUGUAUAGUUCUAUGUGUGGGUGUGGUGCUUAGGAAUAGUUUUAUCUAGGAAGGCUGGUUGGGGAAACAGAGGACGUAGUUGGCCGGGUGCCGACAGCCUCGGUUGUCCUUUGAAGCCAGCCACGUUAACCCUAAUUACGCUGACGCAAAUAGGUAGACCAAUGCUUAAUGUGGAAAGCAGUCCUGUUUCCAAAGCAAGCAAGGAUAAGUGUAGCUAAAUGGAUUUCCUAGAAUGAAAGCAGUCUUGUGAUGUGGGGAAUAACCCGGGGACUUGAAUCCUGACUAAUUCGAUGAUUUCACAACCAUAUCAUCACAUUCACACAACAAAUACAUAUAUAUAGACAAUAAUGUUCACAUUUCUAAGUGUUAACAAAAGACACACAUCACAUUGGACUAACUGGUCAAAUAAAAGAGAGUCAAACAUAGCGCAAUAAGAGAACAAAAAAAUAUAUACAUUCUUUAGUAUGCCAUCUAACUAACUAGGAAUUACUACCCAUGUCGAAACGCGGAUGACCGCACCGAGAAGGCAAAUUCUUCUUUGCCAAUCGAAGAGCACAAACAAGAAUGAGAUAGAAUACAACCAAAAUUACAGAUGAAUGAUUAAGCUCACAAGUUGGGGUCUUACAAACCGAUCUAGCGGCGAAACUAUUCUCGACAGAAUAUUCUAAGCAAAACCCGACUCUAAACGAUGACGGCUACUUAAUUAAUAUGAUUAGGGACGUCCUAGGGUUGCCCUAGGGCGCACACCCUCAUGGGCUAAGCCCACGACACAAUUAUAAGGCCCAAAACCCAAAUCAGAUUUGGAUUGGAUGAGAUACAUAACUUGUUUUGUAGAUUCCCGACAGCUCGGUAGGAAUUUUGACGUAGGACCAAAACCAUCUAAAAGUAGACUCCAUAAGCUUUCCAACAAGUACUCAUAGGCCCCGAAAUUCCUUCUAGAUCAACAUCUAGGUUCGUUUGAAGUUGAUGCUGUCAGGAGGCCCGAAUCCGAAUCCAAAACGUGUAGAACUUGAUCUCUUGUCUUCUAUGGACCAAAAGUGACGUGGUGAGGUAGAAGUAGACUUGGAGAAGGUCUUGGUUUGGUCCCCAAUCAACUUCUUUGAUCAUCCAUGCAUUCGUUACGCUCGGUCUCUUUUCCUUCGCCCAAGCAAGUACCUCUACAAACAAAAACACAUCAUUGUGUAGCAACGUUUGUUCAAAUAUAUAACAAGUAAAUCUAAUGUAGAACAUAUGUACCUUUGUUUGAUUAAUAUAUAAGGUAUCCAUGGUUAUAUCCAAACUAGUAGUGUCCUCAUCACCUAGCUAGAAGUAUCAUGACGCUAAUGGUGGUGGAUAGAAAAUGGCAAAGGAAGGGAGAUAGUGCUGUUUCCAAAGGCAGAGAUGAAGUAAAAUAGGGUUCAAUGUAAAACAAAAGGGAGAGAGAGAGAGAGCUCAAAGUGAAAAGAAUGUGUAAAGGAGGGCAAAAGUGAAACUUUUGUAGUAAAGAGGUCCACAUUGCAAACCAUCUCUAUGUUUUAAGUUUUGAUGCAUGUAAAAAUAAUGUGACUGUGACAUCCCGGCCCAAUUUGGAUUAGGCCUGUGUGGCCCAUGUGAGUUGUGUGCGUAUGUUUAGUACGACCUUAUUAGUUUAGCAUGAGUGGAACUAACUUAUAAGGCCUCUUCCCUCCAACCAUACCCUUUUACACGAAGCGAGGACGAAAGUGUAAGUGGAGUGAUGUGUGUAAGUGGGCCCGCUACGUGGUUCUGGAGGGAGGGCUGUAACAAAUGGUAUCGGAGCCGACCCUUGCGAUUGCGCGUACGGGUCAGUGUGCGGGCAUAUGGCGCUGGCACUGGACGUACGGAUGUGCGCUUCGCGGUUGCGCGUACAGGUCAGUGUGCGGGCAUAUGGCGCAUGGCGCAUGUGGGCUCUGUGUGAGGCACAUGGCAUGGCAUAUGGCGCUAGCACUGGACGUACGGAUGUGCGCUGAGAGGGGGUGUGUUCCUGGACAGUUGCCUAUAUGCCUGUGUGGCUACAUGGGUAAGUUGGGCCGACAGGGAUGUCGGGUCCUUUGAGGGGGGGGGGGGUUGUGACAUCCCAGCCCAAUUUGGAUUAGGCCUGUGUGGCCCCACUCCCGGGUUAACCCUUUUAUACGAAGCGAUGACGGAAGUGUAAGUGGAGUGGUAUGUGUAAGUGGGCCCGCCCGUCGGAUGGGCUGGCUACACGGUUCUGUAGGGAGGGCUGUGACAGUGACGUGGUCAUCACUUCCAACUUAAAUGCUAAAAAUAUUGUUCUCAAUUUGUAACCUCCAUUGAGAGUAUUAUCAUGUUCUUAGUAAUUGCUUAUUGAUAUUUUUAUGGAAAAAGAGGUGUAGGCAAUCUUCUUCACAUUAUUCAUUACAGUAAGAUCGUUACACAUUUAGUUUACUUCUCGUUGAUCUGCCACUCAGCAUACUGUUGCGGCCCACGCCUCGGAGCAAAGACAGCCAUCUCAUCGCCGCGGUUGAACUUUACAUGCCUAGAGUCCUCCCUUGAAAGCCUAUAAGCAUUGGCGACCACGUCAACGGGUAGAGCACGAAGAAUGGAGGCCUUCCCUGCGAUCUGACUGUCGACAGCAUUGUGAUUGGUCUUGAAGGAUACCCAUGC
Molecule: long non-coding RNA, 25962 nt
Filed under: Oryza sativa (Asian cultivated rice)
Lineage: Eukaryota; Viridiplantae; Streptophyta; Magnoliopsida; Poales; Poaceae
Description: long non-coding RNA (OSAT_LNC000345)
Rfam family: MIR1846 microRNA precursor family (bases 16429-16514)
Source: RNAcentral